CGGGCGAUGGCGCAGGAGCCAAAAACGACGAUGCGCCGUCGUCGUUCCGCGGUUCUACCCGAUCGAACCUCAAAAUCCCUCUGCGAUUCAGCAGCAGCAGCAGCAGCACAUCGGAUCAAGAAGCGCCAUUGAUCUUGAAGGAGAAGAAGAAGAAGAAGGAAAUGGCGUUGUUCGCGAGAGGAGAGCCGCUGGUCGCGAAGCUCGCGGCGUUGGCCAAGUACGUGGUGCUUCCCGGCGCCAUGGCGGCCGCCGUCGUCUACUCGCCGCCCGGCUACGCUUCCUCCUCCGGCAAGCACGGCAAAUCCCCCAAAUAAUCCGACCUCCUCUUCUCCGCUGGUGGAUGGAGUGUGCAUUCUGUGGUUGAUAUUUUGAAGAUGGAGGAAUGCUGUGUUUCCGGCUGAUGGCUCGGCAUCUUUUCACUGCAGGCGGUCCGGGCCAUCAUGCAGACUUUUCAUGUUCUGGAAAACUUUGCUUCACAUUUCUGUGUAAUAUAACACUUAAUAAUUCAGAUGGCUUGCGAUCACCAUGAAUUGCAUAGACAUUCCAAAUAUCGUGUAGGUAUCGCAUUUCUGAGUUGUUAAUCUUUCUUGUUGCUUGA
This is a long non-coding RNA of Syzygium oleosum, 598 nucleotides long. RefSeq lists it as uncharacterized. The record is from RefSeq and is a predicted model, not a curated record. Lineage: Eukaryota; Viridiplantae; Streptophyta; Magnoliopsida; Myrtales; Myrtaceae. The transcript has 2 exons.